Molecule: ribosomal RNA, 433 nt
Filed under: uncultured bacterium
Lineage: Bacteria
Description: partial 16S ribosomal RNA
Rfam family: Bacterial small subunit ribosomal RNA
Source: RNAcentral
AACGAACGCUGGCGGCAUGCCUAACACAUGCAAGUCGAACGAUGCCUUCGGGCGUAGUGGCGCACGGGUGCGUAACGCGUGGGAAUCUGCCUUUCGGUUCGGCAUAACUCAGGGAAACUUGAGCUAAUACCGGAUAACGUCGCAAGACCAAAGAUUUAUCACCGAAAGAUGAGCCCGCGUAGGAUUAGCUAGUUGGUGAGGUAAAGGCUCACCAAGGCGACGAUCCUUAGCUGGUCUGAGAGGAUGAUCAGCCACACUGGGACUGAGACACGGCCCAGACUCCUACGGGAUGCAGCAGUGGGGAAUAUUGGACAAUGGGCGAAAGCCUGAUCCACCAAUGCCGCGUGAGUGAUGAAGGCCUUAGGGUUGUAAAGCUCUUUUACCCGGGAAGAUAAUGACGGUACCGGGAGAAUAAGCCCCGGCUAACUCCGUG